Molecule: ribosomal RNA, 1341 nt
Filed under: uncultured bacterium
Lineage: Bacteria
Description: partial 16S ribosomal RNA
Rfam family: Bacterial small subunit ribosomal RNA
Source: RNAcentral
GACGAACGCUGGCGGCGUGCUUAACACAUGCAAGUCGAACGGUAAGGCUCCAGCUUGCUGGGGUACACGAGUGGCGAACGGGUGAGUAACACGUGGGUGACCUGCCCUGCACUUCGGGAUAAGCCUGGGAAACUGGGUCUAAUACCGGAUAGGACCGCACCGUGAGGGUGUGGUGGAAAGUUUUUUCGGUGUGGGAUGGGCCCGCGGCCUAUCAGCUUGUUGGUGGGGUAAUGGCCUACCAAGGCGGCGACGGGUAGCCGGCCUGAGAGGGUGGACGGCCACAUUGGGACUGAGACACGGCCCAGACUCCUACGGGAGGCAGCAGUGGGGAAUAUUGCACAAUGGGCGGAAGCCUGAUGCAGCGACGCCGCGUGGGGGAUGACGGCCUUCGGGUUGUAAACUCCUUUCACCAUCGACGAAGGGUUUCUGACGGUAGAUGGAGAAGAAGCACCGGCUAGCUACGUGCCAGCAGCCGCGGUAAUACGUAGGGUGCGAGCGUUGUCCGGAAUUACUGGGCGUAAAGAGCUCGUAGGUGGUUUGUCGCGUCGUCUGUGAAAUUCCGGGGCUUAACUCCGGGCGUGCAGGCGAUACGGGCAUAACUUGAGUACUGUAGGGGAGGCUGGAAUUCCUGGUGUAGCGGUGAAAUGCGCAGAUAUCAGGAGGAACACCGGUGGCGAAGGCGGGUCUCUGGGCAGUAACUGACGCUGAGGAGCGAAAGCAUGGGGAGCGAACAGGAUUAGAUACCCUGGUAGUCCAUGCCGUAAACGGUGGGCGCUAGGUGUGGGUUUCCUUCCACGGGAUCCGUGCCGUAGCUAACGCAUUAAGCGCCCCGCCUGGGGAGUACGGCCGCAAGGCUAAAACUCAAAGGAAUUGACGGGGGCCCGCACAAGCGGCGGAGCAUGUGGAUUAAUUCGAUGCAACGCGAAGAACCUUACCUGGGCUUGACAUAUACAGGAUCGCGCCAGAGAUGGUGUUUCCCUUGUGGCUUGUAUACAGGUGGUGCAUGGUUGUCGUCAGCUCGUGUCGUGAGAUGUUGGGUUAAGUCCCGCAACGAGCGCAACCCUUGUCUUAUGUUGCCAGCACGUUGUGGUGGGGACUCGCAAGAAACUGCCGGGGUUAACUCGGAGGAAGGUGGGGAUGACGUCAAAUCAUCAUGCCCCUUAUGUCCAGGGCUUCACACAUGCUACAAUGGUCGGUACAGUGGGUUGCCAGUCCGUGAGGGCGAGCUAAUCCCGCAAAGCCGGUCUCAGUUCGGAUCGGGGUCUGCAACUCGACCCCGUGAAGUCGGAGUCGCUAGUAAUCGCAGAUCAGCAACGCUGCGGUGAAUACGUUCCCGGGCCU